Molecule: long non-coding RNA, 1302 nt
Organism: Gallus gallus (chicken)
Lineage: Eukaryota; Metazoa; Chordata; Aves; Galliformes; Phasianidae
Source: Ensembl
UUAUAGGUCCUUUCCAGUUUGUAAUCUGAGCCUAUGAUUCAAGCACCUUCUCUUCCAAGCUCAAAAUAAGUGUAUCCAUAAGAAUAAGAACCUGAGCAAAAGUGCCAAGAGACCCACACAGAUGAGCAAUGAUCUCAUGGAAAAAGCCAAAUGGAAGAAAAGAAGUCUUCAGAAUGUGGGAAAAGGGUCUGGCCACUUGGGAGGAAUAAACAAAUGUUGCAGAGCAUGCAGGGAAGCAACAAGAAAGGCUAAGGCCCACAUGGAAUUAAAUCUUGUGAUCAAGAUCAAGAAGAUCAAGAAUAACAAGAAGGGCUUCUUUAAGUGUAUCAGUGGGAAAAGAAAGACUAGGGAAAAUGUGAGCCUACUGCUGAAUGAGGUGGAUGCCCUGAUAAUAGAGGACACUGAGAAGUUACUGGAGUUACUGAACACCUUCUUUGUUUCAGUCUUUACCCUUAAGACUACACCUUGUGAAUCCCAGACCUUGGAGCUAAGGGAGAGAAUCUGGGGAAAGGAAGUUUUCACCACGGUUGAGAAGAAUGUGGUCAGAGGUCAUCUAGACUAUCUCAGGGCACACAAAUCCAUAGGCCCCAACAGGAUGAGUGCAUGAGUGCAGAGGGAGCUAGCAGAAGUGAUUAGACUACUCUAUAACAUCCUUGAAAGAUUAGGGAGAAUGGGAAAGGUGCCUGAAGAUUUGAGGAUGGCCAGUGUCACUCCAAUCUUCAAAAAGAACGAGAAUGAGCUUGGAAACUACAGGCCAGUCAGCUUCACCUCCCUCCCUGGGGAGGUGGUGUAAUGACUUAAUCUGGAUGUCAUCUCCAAAUGAAACUGCCUGAUGAUCAAUAAGGACACUUCAUGUGUGUGUAAAAGGAGAAGACUGGCAUGAACCCUGCAGAACUCGCUCGGCAACAGCUUCAUGCAGUGUAGAACAGAACAUCAAUGAGCAGCAGCCAAAUUAAUCUACAAACAACAGCAGUGAUGACAACAGCCCUUGAAGAAGCUACUUGAAGGAUUUGUUUGCAUGGAUAAAUCAGUGUUUCUUCCAUGUCUUCACCACUCCUUACUUAAGUUGGUCUGGCUGACUACCUUUGAGUGAGUACCAACAGUAAUUCAGAGUGAGACAGUUUUAAUGUAUUUCUUCAGUGAGAUGAAAAACACAAACCACCAGACCAUGGAUACAGUUACAUGUGUAGAAAAAUCAUCUAUCUGAACAGUUUGUCUGUGGGGAAAGAAGAAUAUAUGUAGAGGUUGUUUGUCUUUGCAAAUUGUUUGGUGGAUUGUGCUGAAGUGAAUACAUUAGUAGAU